GAUCCAGACUUUGAUCAUGGCUCAGGAUGAACGCUAGCUACAGGCUUAACACAUGCAAGUCGAGGGGCAGCGGGAUUGAAGCUUGCUUCAAUUGCCGGCGACCGGCGCACGGGUGAGUAACGCGUAUCCAACCUUCCGUACACUCAGGGAUAGCCUUUCGAAAGAAAGAUUAAUACCCGAUAGUAUCUUAGCACACAUGUAAUUAAGAUUAAAGAUUUAUCGGUGUACGAUGGGGAUGCGUUCCAUUAGGUAGUAGGCGGGGUAACGGCCCACCUAGCCAACGAUGGAUAGGGGUUCUGAGAGGAAGGUCCCCCACAUUGGAACUGAGACACGGUCCAAACUCCUACGGGAGGCAGCAGUGAGGAAUAUUGGUCAAUGGACGAGAGUCUGAACCAGCCAAGUAGCGUGAAGGAUGAAGGUCCUACGGAUUGUAAACUUCUUUUAUAAGGGAAUAAACCCUCCCACGUGUGGGAGCUUGUAUGUACCUUAUGAAUAAGCAUCGGCUAACUCCGUGCCAGCAGCCGCGGUAAUACGGAGGAUGCGAGCGUUAUCCGGAUUUAUUGGGUUUAAAGGGAGCGCAGACGGGUCGUUAAGUCAGCUGUGAAAGUUUGGGGCUCAACCUUAAAACUGCAGUUGAUACCGGCGUCCUUGAGUGCGGUUGAGGUGUGCGGAAUUCGUGGUGUAGCGGUGAAAUGCUUAGAUAUCACGAAGAACUCCGAUUGCGAAGGCAGCACACUAAUCCGUAACUGACGUUCAUGCUCGAAAGUGUGGGUAUCAAACAGGAUUAGAUACCCUGGUAAUCCACACGGUAAACGAUGGAUACUCGCUGUUGGCGAUAUACUGUCAGCGGCUUAGCGAAAGCGUUAAGUAUCCCACCUGGGGAGUACGCCGGCAACGGUGCAACUCAAAUGAAUUGACGG
This 920-nucleotide ribosomal RNA is filed under the name uncultured Bacteroidota bacterium. Its description in RNAcentral is "bacterial SSU rRNA". It matches the Rfam family "Bacterial small subunit ribosomal RNA", at positions 1 to 916 of the family's 1533-position model. The record is from RNAcentral. Lineage: Bacteria; Pseudomonadati; Bacteroidota.